GCGGGGGUGCCCGAGCCGGUCAAACACAACAUCUAUUAUCGCGUGGAGUUGUGGGCCAGAGGGGCACGGUUGAGGACCGUGUGGCAUAGGCCUGCGCGGGUUCAAACCCCGUCCCCCGCA
Molecule: transfer RNA, 120 nt
Filed under: Candidatus Altarchaeales archaeon
Lineage: Archaea; Nanobdellati; Candidatus Altarchaeota; Candidatus Altarchaeia; Candidatus Altarchaeales
Also listed under: 1 other name
Description: Candidatus Altiarchaeales archaeon tRNA-OTHER
Rfam family: tRNA
About the family: Transfer RNA (tRNA) molecules are approximately 80 nucleotides in length.
Source: RNAcentral